GGUUAAGCGACUAAGCGUACACGGUGGAUGCCCUGGCAGUCAGAGGCGAUGAAGGGCGUGCUAAUCUGCGAUAAGCGCCGGUAAGGUGAUAUGAACCGUUAUAACCGGCGAUACCCGAAUGGGGAAACCCAGUGUGAUUCGUCACACUAUCAUUAACUGAAUCCAUAGGUUAAUGAGGCGAACCGGGGGAACUGAAACAUCUAAGUACCCCGAGGAAAAGAAAUCAACCGAGAUUCCCCCAGUAGCGGCGAGCGAACGGGGAGGAGCCCAGAGCCUGAAUCAGCAUGUGUGUUAGUGGAAGCGUCUGGAAAGGCGCGCGAUACAGGGUGACAGCCCCGUACACAAAAGCGCAUGUGCUGUGAGCUCGAUGAGUAGGGCGGGACACGUGGUAUCCUGUCUGAAUAUGGGGGGACCAUCCUCCAAGGCUAAAUACUCCUGACUGACCGAUAGUGAACCAGUACCGUGAGGGAAAGGCGAAAAGAACCCCGGCGAGGGGAGUGAAAAAGAACCUGAAACCGUGUACGUACAAGCAGUGGGAGCACAGGUUUACCUGUGUGACUGCGUACCUUUUGUAUAAUGGGUCAGCGACUUAUAUUCUGUAGCAAGGUUAACCGAAUAGGGGAGCCGGAGGGAAACCGAGUCUUAACCGGGCGUUAAGUUGCAGGGUAUAGACCCGAAACCCGGUGAUCUAGCCAUGGGCAGGUUGAAGGUUGGGUAACACUAACUGGAGGACCGAACCGACUAAUGUUGAAAAAUUAGCGGAUGACCUGUGGCUGGGGGUGAAAGGCCAAUCAAACCGGGAGAUAGCUGGUUCUCCCCGAAAGCUAUUUAGGUAGCGCCUCGUGAAUUCAUCUCCGGGGGUAGAGCACUGUUUCGGCUAGGGGGCCAUCCCGGCUUACCAACCCGAUGCAAACUGCGAAUACCGGAGAAUGUUAUCACGGGAGACACACGGCGGGUGCUAACGUCCGUCGUGAAGAGGGAAACAACCCAGACCGCCAGCUAAGGUCCCAAAGUCAUGGUUAAGUGGGAAACGAUGUGGGAAGGCCCAGACAGCCAGGAUGUUGGCUUAGAAGCAGCCAUCAUUUAAAGAAAGCGUAAUAGCUCACUGGUCGAGUCGGCCUGCGCGGAAGAUGUAACGGGGCUAAACCAUGCACCGAAGCUGCGGCAGCGACGCUUAUGCGUUGUUGGGUAGGGGAGCGUUCUGUAAGCCUGUGAAGGUGUGUCGUGAGGCAUGCUGGAGGUAUCAGAAGUGCGAAUGCUGACAUAAGUAACGAUAAAGCGGGUGAAAAGCCCGCUCGCCGGAAGACCAAGGGUUCCUGUCCAACGUUAAUCGGGGCAGGGUGAGUCGACCCCUAAGGCGAGGCCGAAAGGCGUAGUCGAUGGGAAACGGGUUAAUAUUCCCGUACUUGGUGUUACUGCGAAGGGGGGACGGAGAAGGCUAUGUUGGCCGGGCGACGGUUGUCCCGGUUUAAGCGUGUAGGUGUGUGUUCCAGGUAAAUCCGGUUCACUUUAACACUGAGGCGUGAUGACGAGGCACUACGGUGCUGAAGUAACAAAUGCCCUGCUUCCAGGAAAAGCCUCUAAGCAUCAGGUAACAUCAAAUCGUACCCCAAACCGACACAGGUGGUCAGGUAGAGAAUACCAAGGCGCUUGAGAGAACUCGGGUGAAGGAACUAGGCAAAAUGGUGCCGUAACUUCGGGAGAAGGCACGCUGACACGUAGGUGAAGUGAUUUACUCACGGAGCUGAAGUCAGUCGAAGAUACCAGCUGGCUGCAACUGUUUAUUAAAAACACAGCACUGUGCAAACACGAAAGUGGACGUAUACGGUGUGACGCCUGCCCGGUGCCGGAAGGUUAAUUGAUGGGGUCAGCGCAAGCGAAGCUCCUGAUCGAAGCCCCGGUAAACGGCGGCCGUAACUAUAACGGUCCUAAGGUAGCGAAAUUCCUUGUCGGGUAAGUUCCGACCUGCACGAAUGGCGUAAUGAUGGCCAGGCUGUCUCCACCCGAGACUCAGUGAAAUUGAACUCGCUGUGAAGAUGCAGUGUACCCGCGGCAAGACGGAAAGACCCCGUGAACCUUUACUAUAGCUUGACACUGAACAUUGAGCCUUGAUGUGUAGGAUAGGUGGGAGGCUUUGAAGUGUGGACGCCAGUCUGCAUGGAGCCGACCUUGAAAUACCACCCUUUAAUGUUUGAUGUUCUAACGUGGACCCGUUA
This 2216-nucleotide ribosomal RNA is filed under the name Salmonella enterica subsp. enterica serovar Berta. Its description in RNAcentral is "partial 23S ribosomal RNA". It matches the Rfam family "Bacterial large subunit ribosomal RNA", at positions 1 to 2238 of the family's 2925-position model. Lineage: Bacteria; Pseudomonadati; Pseudomonadota; Gammaproteobacteria; Enterobacterales; Enterobacteriaceae. The record is from RNAcentral. RNAcentral also lists the same sequence under 1 other name.